This 549-nucleotide ribosomal RNA is filed under the name uncultured bacterium. RNAcentral's name for it is "partial 16S ribosomal RNA". It matches the Rfam family "Bacterial small subunit ribosomal RNA", at positions 355 to 896 of the family's 1533-position model. The record is from RNAcentral.
UGGGGAAUUUUGGACAAUGGGCGCAAGCCUGAUCCAGCCAUGCCGCGUGCGGGAAGAAGGCCUUCGGGUUGUAAACCGCUUUUGUCAGGGAAGAAAUCUUCUGAGUUAAUACCUCGGGAGGAUGACGGUACCUGAAGAAUAAGCACCGGCUAACUACGUGCCAGCAGCCGCGGUAAUACGUAGGGUGCAAGCGUUAAUCGGAAUUACUGGGCGUAAAGCGUGCGCAGGCGGUUUUGUAAGACAGAGGUGAAAUCCCCGGGCUCAACCUGGGAACUGCCUUUGUGACUGCAAGGCUUGAGUGCGGCAGAGGGGGAUGGAAUUCCGCGUGUAGCAGUGAAAUGCGUAGAUAUGCGGAGGAACACCGAUGGCGAAGGCAAUCCCCUGGGCCUGCACUGACGCUCAUGCACGAAAGCGUGGGGAGCAAAACAGGAUUAGAUACCCUGGUAGUCCACGCCCUAAACGAUGUCAACUGGUUGUUGGGAAGAUUCCUUCUCAGUAACGUAGCUAACGCGUGAAGUUGACCGCCUGGGGAGUACGGCCGCAAGGUUG